Long non-coding RNA from Oncorhynchus tshawytscha (Chinook salmon), 456 nucleotides. The record is from Ensembl. Lineage: Eukaryota; Metazoa; Chordata; Actinopteri; Salmoniformes; Salmonidae.
AUCAAUCUACAGGCUGGUCCUAGAUCCUCAAUCUACAGGUUGGUCCUAGAUCCUCAAACUACAGGCUGGUCCUAGGUCCUCAAUCUACAUGCUGGUCCUAGAUCGUCAAUCUACAGGCUGGUCCUAGAUCCUCAAUCUACAGGCUUGUCCUAGAUCCUCAAUCUACAGGCUUGUCCUAGAUCCUCAAUCUACAGGCUGGUCCUAGAUCGUCAAUCUACAGGCUGGUCCUAGAUCCUCAAUCUACAGGCUGGUCCUAGAUCCUCAAUCUACAGGCUGGUCCUAGAUCCUCAAUCUACAGGCUGGUCCUAGAUCCUCAAUCUACAGGCUGGUCCUAGAUCCUGAAUCUACAGGCUUGUCCUAGAUCCUCAAUCUACAGGCUGGUCCUAGAUCCUCAAUCUACAGGCUUGUCCUAGAUCCUCAAACUACAGGCUGGUCCUAGAUCCUCAAUCUACAGGC